This 440-nucleotide ribosomal RNA is filed under the name uncultured bacterium. RNAcentral describes it as "partial 16S ribosomal RNA". It matches the Rfam family "Bacterial small subunit ribosomal RNA", at positions 338 to 795 of the family's 1533-position model. The record is from RNAcentral.
CCUACGGGAGGCAGCAGUGGGGAAUAUUGCACAAUGGGGGAAACCCUGAUGCAGCGACGCCGCGUGAGCGAUGAAGUAUCUCGGUAUGUAAAGCUCUAUCAGCAGGGAAGAAAAUGACGGUACCUGACUAAGAAGCCCCGGCUAACUACGUGCCAGCAGCCGCGGUAAUACGUAGGGGGCAAGCGUUAUCCGGAUUUACUGGGUGUAAAGGGAGCGUAGACGGCUGUGCAAGCCAGGUGUGAAAGCCCGGGGCUCAACCCCGGAACUGCAUUUGAAACUGUGUGGCUGGAGUGCAGGAGGGGUAGGCGGAAUUCCUAGUGUAGCGGUGAAAUGCGUAGAUAUUAGGAGGAACACCAGUGGCGAAGGCGGCCUACUGGACGGUGACUGACGUUGAUGCUCGAAAGCGUGGGGAGCAAACAGGAUUAGAUACCCGUGUAGUC